GUGGGGAAUAUUGGACAAUGGGCGAAAGCCUGAUCCAGCCAUGCCGCGUGUGUGAAGAAGGUCUUCGGAUUGUAAAGCACUUUAAGUUGGGAGGAAGGGUAGUAACCUAAUACGUUGCUACUUUGACGUUACCGACAGAAUAAGCACCGGCUAACUUCGUGCCAGCAGCCGCGGUAAUACGAAGGGUGCAAGCGUUAAUCGGAAUUACUGGGCGUAAAGCGCGCGUAGGUGGUUCAGUAAGUUGGAAGUGAAAUCCCCGGGCUCAACCUGGGAACUGCUUUCAAGACUGCUGAGCUAGAGUACGGUAGAGGGUGGUGGAAUUUCCUGUGUAGCGGUGAAAUGCGUAGAUAUUAGGAGGAACACCAGUGGCGAAGGCGGCUUUCUGGACUGUAACUGACACUGAGGCACGAAAGCGUGGGGAGCAAACAGGAUUAGAUACCCCAGUAGUCC
RNAcentral lists this ribosomal RNA (450 nucleotides) under uncultured bacterium. RNAcentral describes it as "partial 16S ribosomal RNA". It matches the Rfam family "Bacterial small subunit ribosomal RNA", at positions 354 to 796 of the family's 1533-position model. The record is from RNAcentral.